This 1101-nucleotide ribosomal RNA is filed under the name Triticum aestivum (bread wheat). RNAcentral describes it as "partial small subunit ribosomal RNA". Lineage: Eukaryota; Viridiplantae; Streptophyta; Magnoliopsida; Poales; Poaceae. The record is from RNAcentral.
AUGGAUCUGGUUAGGAACCAACUUGCCACUGACAUUGCUCUAGAUUUUGGUGAGAUCUCCUCUCCACCGCCGUCACUCCCACUGCUGCACGGAUCCAUGGCGGAGUCCGCAAGUCUCCUCCAUGGCCUCCAGGAUGAGAUCUUCAUGUUUGAGAUCCUCGUUCGCCUGCCCCCCAAAUCCCUCCUUCACUGCUGUGCCGUCUGCCACGCCUGGCGCGGCGCCACCUCCGACCGCGACUUCCUUGUCGCCCACCACGCCCGCCAGCCCUCACUCCCUCUCCUUUACACUGAAAUUGAUGACCCGCCGUCCAUAGACAUCAUCACCCCCUUCCCCUGCGACCACCGGGCAGACGACAAGCUCCAGCCCGUUGCCCAACUCAGUGGUGCCCAUGACUUCUUUCCCGUGGCCUGCUGUGACGGCCUCCUUGUCUUCACCACCUGCGGGGGUGAACGCCUCUCCAUCUGCAACCCGGCCACUCGUCAGUAUGCUCGUCUCAACCAGCUUGAUGACUUCACGGUUUUGGGGAUGUACCCACACAGCCCUACCAGCGAGUACCGACUACUGCUCUGCGUCUGCCCGGAAACUGAUGCUCAAAGUGGCUUCUACGUCUUCACAUUAGGCUCUGACCAGCAGCCGAGGCACAUCGGGGCGCAUGCCAAGGGACUGUUGCAACACCAACCUGUCCUUUUCCGUGGUAGCCUGCAUUGGCACACAGAGCGACUGAUAAUGGUAUUUGACACCACCGCUGAGUUGUUCCGGCAGAUGCGCUCUCCGAUUGAUCCCGGCCAUGCCGAGGCUGACCUGUUUGAGAUGGGUGACUUGCUUGGCAUGUACAGUCUUAAUGAAGAAAAUACCAUUGUUCAUGUCUGGGUGAUGCAGGACUACGAAGGCCAAGUCUGGGCCUCCAAAGCCUGGCGGGUUCAAUUGCCGAUUGCAGAGCUAAGGGUGCUAUUAAAAAACUUUCGCGGUUUUUGGUGUGUGGAUGUUGCAUAUUGGGAUGGUGAUGUCCUCGUGCUGGUCGAUAUUGACAAGGACUCGCUACUUCAGUUUGACAUUGAUGGCAAGUUGGUUGCUAGUCUCCAUCGCAGAUUUCUCUGCUAG